GAGGGUGUAGCUCAGUGGUAAAGCAUGUGCUUCACACGCACGGGGUCCUGGGUUCAGUCCCUCGUACCUCCA
This 72-nucleotide transfer RNA is filed under the name Camelus bactrianus (Bactrian camel). It matches the Rfam family "tRNA". From Rfam's summary of the family: Transfer RNA (tRNA) molecules are approximately 80 nucleotides in length. Their secondary structure includes four short double-helical elements and three loops (D, anti-codon, and T loops). RNAcentral also lists the same sequence under 2 other names. The record is from Rfam by way of RNAcentral. Lineage: Eukaryota; Metazoa; Chordata; Mammalia; Artiodactyla; Camelidae.